GUAAAGUUUGAUUCUGUCUUAGUUACUUAUGAGGUUACUAAAAUUGUAUGGGAACCGAAGUGUGUAUUUAAUAAAUUACUUAAAGUAUUAAUAGAAUAUAAUGAAAGAAUUAUUUUUAUUUAGUUUAAAUCCCAGCAUAAAGUUUUAAAAAAGAUUAAUUUAUUAAAGUAGGAUUUAGUAGUAAGUUAAGAUCUGGUGAAAUAUUGUGCCAGCAGUCGCGGUUAGACUUUAAGGUCAAAUAAGUAAUAACUUGGUUAUGGUUAUAAUAUGAUAGUAUAAAAUAAAAUUGAGAAAAUAAAGGGUGAAAUCAAUAAUAUUUGGUUGUUAAUUUGAAAAUACUAAAUUUGAAGCUGAUUUUUUAUGGGUUUAGACUAGGAUUAGAUACCCUAUUAUACCAAAAGGUAAUAUAAUAGCCUAAUUAUUUAUAGAUAUGUUCUUGAAAUUUGAAGAAUUUGGCGGUGAUUUAGUCUUGUCAGAGGAAUUUGUUUUUUAAUCGAUAAACCACGUAAAAUCUUACUCGUUUUUGUUUUCAGCUUAUAUACCAUCAUUAGUAGAUAAUCUUAGUAGAGAGAUAAUUAUUAAGUUUUAUAUAUAAUCAAAAUUAGAUCAAGGUGUAGCUAAUAAAUGAGUUAAAAUGAAUUACAAUAAAAUUAUAUUUAUACGGAUUUAUUAAUGAAAUAUUAAAAAUAAAGGUGGAUUUGAUUGUAAUAUAAGUUUAAUAAGCUUAAAAGAUAUAAGUUCUAAAUCGUGUACAUAUCGCCCGUCGCUUUCAUAUAAAAAUGAAAUAAGUCGUAACAUAGUAGGUUUAUUGGAAAAUAAACCUGGAUUUAA
This 831-nucleotide non-coding RNA is filed under the name Pilumnopeus makianus. Lineage: Eukaryota; Metazoa; Arthropoda; Malacostraca; Decapoda; Pilumnidae. The record is from RNAcentral.